This 509-nucleotide ribosomal RNA is filed under the name uncultured Lactobacillus sp. RNAcentral's name for it is "bacterial SSU rRNA". It matches the Rfam family "Bacterial small subunit ribosomal RNA", at positions 1 to 513 of the family's 1533-position model. Lineage: Bacteria; Bacillati; Bacillota; Bacilli; Lactobacillales; Lactobacillaceae. The record is from RNAcentral.
UCGGCUUAGAGUUUGAUCAUGGCUCAGGACGAACGCUGGCGGCGUGCCUAAUACAUGCAAGUCGAACGAACUGGUGCUUGCAUCAUUGAGUGGCGAACUGGUGAGUAACACGUGGGAAACCUGCCCAGAAGCGGGGGAUAACACCUGGAAACAGAUGCUAAUACCGCAUAACAACUUACCGCAUGGUCGAGCUGAAAGAUGUUCGUAUCACUUUUGGAUGGUCCCGCGGCGUAUUAGCUAGAUGGUGGGGUAAUGGCUCACCAUGGCAAUGAUACGUAGCCGACCUGAGAGGGUAAUCGGCCACAUUGGGACUGAGACACGGCCCAAACUCCUACGGGAGGCAGCAGUAGGGAAUCUUCCACAAUGGACGAAAGUCUGAUGGAGCAACGCCGCGUGAGUGAAGAAGGGUUUCGGCUCGUAAAACUCUGUUGUUAAAGAAGAACAUAUCUGAGGUAAUUCAGGUAUUGACGGUAUUUAACCAGAAAGCCACGGCUAACUACGUGCCAGCA